CCUACGGGAGGCAGCAGUGGGGAAUAUUGCACAAUGGGGGAAACCCUGAUGCAGCAACGCCGCGUGAGUGAAGAAGUAUUUAGGUAUGUAAAGCUCUAUUAGCAGGGAAGCAGAUGACGGUACUUGUGUAAGAAGCCCCGGCUAACUACGUGCCAGCAGCCGCGGGAAUACGUAGGGGGCAAGCGCUAUCCAGAUUUACUGGGUGUAAAGGGAGCGCAGACGGGGUGACAGGUCUGGAGUGAAAGCCCGGGGCUGAACCCCGGGACUGCUUUGGAAACUGCGUGACUGGAGUGCUGGAGAGGCAAGCGGAAUUCCUGGUGUAGCGGUGAAAUGCGUAGAUAUAAGGAAGAACACCAGUGGCGAAGGCGGCUUGCUGGACAGUAACUGACGUUGAGGCUCGAAAGCGUGGGGAGCAAACAGGAUUAGAUACCCCAGUAGUC
RNAcentral lists this ribosomal RNA (440 nucleotides) under uncultured bacterium. Its description in RNAcentral is "partial 16S ribosomal RNA". It matches the Rfam family "Bacterial small subunit ribosomal RNA", at positions 338 to 795 of the family's 1533-position model. The record is from RNAcentral.